RNAcentral lists this transfer RNA (74 nucleotides) under Gelidiella acerosa. RNAcentral's name for it is "tRNA-Lys". It matches the Rfam family "tRNA". From Rfam's summary of the family: Transfer RNA (tRNA) molecules are approximately 80 nucleotides in length. Lineage: Eukaryota; Rhodophyta; Florideophyceae; Gelidiales; Gelidiellaceae. The record is from RNAcentral.
GGGUGUAUAGCUUAGUGGCUAAAAGCAAUAAACUUUUAAUUUAUAGACCUUAGGUUCGAAUCCUAAUACACUCA